Molecule: ribosomal RNA, 472 nt
Filed under: uncultured bacterium
Lineage: Bacteria
Description: partial 16S ribosomal RNA
Rfam family: Bacterial small subunit ribosomal RNA
Source: RNAcentral
AUGAACGCUAGCGGCAGGCCUAAUACAUGCAAGUCGAACGGUGGCGCUUCGGCGCCAUAGUGGCAAACGGGUGCGUAACGCGUAAGCAACCUGCCCACAACUGGGGGAUAGCCCGGCGAAAGCGGGGGUAAACCCGCAUGGUCCUUUUUCACCACCUGGUGAGUCAGGUAAACAUUAAUGGGUUGUGGAGGGGCUUGCGUCUGAUUAGGUAGUUGGUGGGGUAGUGGCUCACCAAGCCGAUGAUCAGUAGGGGUUCUGAGAGGAUUGGCCCCCACAUGGGUACUGAGAUACGGACCCAACUCCUACGGGAGGCAGCAGUAGGGAAUAUUGGGCAAUGGAGGCAACUCUGACCCAGCCAUGCCGCGUGGAGGAUGAAGGCGCUCAGCGUCGUAAACUUCUUUUAGCUGGGAAGAACAGCAGAGAUGCGUCUUUGUGUGACGGUACCAGAGGAAUAAGCACCGGCUAACUCCGU